UAGUAAUCGAUUAGGGACCGCUGUAAC
Molecule: small RNA, 27 nt
Filed under: Bombyx mori (domestic silkworm)
Lineage: Eukaryota; Metazoa; Arthropoda; Insecta; Lepidoptera; Bombycidae
Description: ovarian small RNA-22865
Source: RNAcentral